GUGAAUCAUCAAAUUUUUGAACGCAAAUUGCGCUUCCUGGCAUCCCGGGAAGUAUGCCUGUUUGAGGGUCAGUAUUAAUAAAAAAUCGGUUUAGUUACAAAUUGUGACGUUUCCGGAGUUUGGGCUAUCUUAACAUUUUUGGUUAAGAGGCUUAAAAUUGACCUUUUUUGCGCUUUUUUAACGUAACUUAAUUUUUUUUUUUUCUUUUUUUCUUACCCCCAAAUUCUUUU
Molecule: unclassified non-coding RNA, 230 nt
Filed under: Glomeraceae sp.
Lineage: Eukaryota; Fungi; Glomeromycota; Glomeromycetes; Glomerales; Glomeraceae
Description: partial contains 5.8S ribosomal RNA and internal transcribed spacer 2
Rfam family: 5.8S ribosomal RNA (bases 1-71)
Source: RNAcentral